This is a non-coding RNA of Cubamyces lactineus, 95 nucleotides long. The record is from the annotation of a GenBank genome assembly. NCBI's taxonomy places the organism in Eukaryota, Fungi, Basidiomycota, Agaricomycetes, Polyporales, Polyporaceae.
GGCCGCCUGGCGUAAUGGCAACGCGUCUGACUACGACUUUGCAGCAAAAACUGCGAAAAAUCAGGAGAUUGCAGGUUCGACCCCUGCGGUGGUCA